AUGGAUGUAUUAGCUACCUAUGAAAUGACUCAAACUGGAUUCAGAAAGGAGAAAAACAUAAAACAGUACAUUACUAUUCUUCUUUACAUGAUCUUCUGUUGCUUGCUACUAUCCUGCCAAUUCUUUGCUUCAUCAGACAUGCAUGUGUCUGAGGCCACAUGCUUUAUUCUAAGGAUCUCAGUAGAAACUUGUCCCAUAUCAGGCCGCUCUUUGGGUGAUGCCAUGGAGCAAGAGAGGCCUAUUCUUAGAAGUGGAAUAACGCAAUUCUCCAUCAUGUCAGUUGCAUUGCUGUUAUCUUGUAGCAUUGUAGGGUCAACAACCUCAUGA
RNAcentral lists this ribosomal RNA (327 nucleotides) under Triticum aestivum (bread wheat). RNAcentral describes it as "partial small subunit ribosomal RNA". Lineage: Eukaryota; Viridiplantae; Streptophyta; Magnoliopsida; Poales; Poaceae. The record is from RNAcentral.